AAUAUUGCGCAAUGGAGGGAACUCUGACGCAGCGACGCCGCGUGAGCGAUGAAGGUCUNCGGAUCNUNAAGCUCUGUCCUUGGGGNAGAAGGGAGCCGUAAGGCUUCUUGACGGUACCCAUGGAGGAAGCCCCGGCUAACUACGUGCCAGCAGCCGCGGUAAUACGUAGGGGGCAAGCGUUGUCCGGAAUUAUUGGGCGUAAAGGGUGCGUAGGCGGCCCUUUAAGUCAGAUGUGAAAGACCACGGCUUAACCGUGGGGCUGCAUUUGAAACUGGAAGGCUUGAGUAUCGGAGAGGGUAGUGGAAUUCCCAGUGUAGCGGUGAAAUGCGUAGAUAUUAGGAGGAACACCAGUGGCGAAGGCGACUCUCUGGACUGUAACUGACGCUGAGGCACGAAAGCGUGGGGAGCGAAC
Molecule: ribosomal RNA, 412 nt
Filed under: uncultured bacterium
Lineage: Bacteria
Description: partial 16S ribosomal RNA
Rfam family: Bacterial small subunit ribosomal RNA
Source: RNAcentral